This 131-nucleotide ribosomal RNA is filed under the name Staphylococcus aureus. Its description in RNAcentral is "partial 23S ribosomal RNA". It matches the Rfam family "Bacterial large subunit ribosomal RNA", at positions 2794 to 2925 of the family's 2925-position model. Lineage: Bacteria; Bacillati; Bacillota; Bacilli; Caryophanales; Staphylococcaceae. The record is from RNAcentral.
CCCCCUCAAGAUGAGAUUUCCCAACUUCGGUUAUAAGAUCCCUCAAAGAUGAUGAGGUUAAUAGGUUCGAGGUGGAAGCAUGGUGACAUGUGGAGCUGACGAAUACUAAUCGAUCGAAGACUUAAUCAAAA